CCUACGGGAGGCUGCAGUGAGGAAUAUUGGUCAAUGGACGAGAGUCUGAACCAGCCAAGUAGCGUGAAGGAUGACUGCCCUAUGGGUUGUAAACUUCUUUUAUAAAGGAAUAAAACGAGGCACGUGUGCCUUUUUGCAUGUACUUUAUGAAUAAGGAUCGGCUAACUCCGUGCCAGCAGCCGCGGUAAUACGGAGGAUCCGAGCGUUAUCCGGAUUUGUUGGGUUUAAAGGGAGCGUAGAUGGGUUGUUAAGUCAGUUGUGAAAGUUUGCGGCUCAACCGUAAAAUUGCAAUUGAUACUGGCAGUCUUGAGUACAGUUGAGGUAGGCGGAAUUCGUGGUGUAGCGGUGAAAUGCUUAGAUAUCACGAAGAACCCCGAUUGCGAAGGCAGCUUACUAAACUGUGACUGACAUUGAUGCUCGAAAGUGUGGGUAUCAAACAGGAUUAGAUACCCGAGUAGUC
Molecule: ribosomal RNA, 460 nt
Filed under: uncultured bacterium
Lineage: Bacteria
Description: partial 16S ribosomal RNA
Rfam family: Bacterial small subunit ribosomal RNA
Source: RNAcentral